This 482-nucleotide ribosomal RNA is filed under the name uncultured Sphingobacteriales bacterium. RNAcentral describes it as "bacterial SSU rRNA". It matches the Rfam family "Bacterial small subunit ribosomal RNA", at positions 28 to 505 of the family's 1533-position model. Lineage: Bacteria; Pseudomonadati; Bacteroidota; Sphingobacteriia; Sphingobacteriales. The record is from RNAcentral.
GAUGAACGCUAGCGGCAGGCCUAAUACAUGCAAGUCGAGGGAGAAAUUUGGUGCUUGCACUAGAUGGGAACCGGCGAACGGGUGCGUAACACGUAUGCAAUCUACCUUCAACAGGGGAAUAGCCCGAAGAAAUUCGGAUUAAUGCCCCAUAACAUAUUGACAUGGCAUCAUGUUAAUAUCAAAGUUCCGGCGGUUGAAGAUGAGCAUGCGGCCUAUUAGUUAGUUGGUGAGGUAAUGGCUCACCAAGGCAACGAUAGGUAGGGGUUCUGAGAGGAUGAUCCCCCACACUGGUACUGAGACACGGACCAGACUCCUACGGGAGGCAGCAGUAGGGAAUAUUGGGCAAUGGAGGAAACUCUGACCCAGCCAUGCCGCGUGCAGGACGAAGGCCCUCUGGGUCGUAAACUGCUUUUAUUUAGGAAGAAACCUCUCUACGUGUAGAGAGCUGACGGUACUAAACGAAUAAGGAUCGGCUAACUCCG